Molecule: ribosomal RNA, 493 nt
Filed under: Shigella flexneri
Lineage: Bacteria; Pseudomonadati; Pseudomonadota; Gammaproteobacteria; Enterobacterales; Enterobacteriaceae
Description: partial 23S ribosomal RNA
Rfam family: Bacterial large subunit ribosomal RNA
Source: RNAcentral
GAUGAAGGACGUGCUAAUCUGCGAUAAGCGUCGGUAAGGUGAUAUGAACCGUUAUAACCGGCGAUUUCCGAAUGGGGAAACCCAGUGUGAUUCGUCACACUAUCAUUAACUGAAUCCAUAGGUUAAUGAGGCGAACCGGGGGAACUGAAACAUCUAAGUACCCCGAGGAAAAGAAAUCAACCGAGAUUCCCCCAGUAGCGGCGAGCGAACGGGGAGCAGCCCAGAGCCUGAAUCAGUGUGUGUGUUAGUGGAAGCGUCUGGAAAGGCGUGCGAUACAGGGUGACAGCCCCGUACACAAAAAUGCACAUACUGUGAGCUCGAUGAGUAGGGCGGGACACGUGGUAUCCUGUCUGAAUAUGGGGGGACCAUCCUCCAAGGCUAAAUACUCCUGACUGACCGAUAGUGAACCAGUACCGUGAGGGAAAGGCGAAAAGAACCCCGGCGAGGGGAGUGAAAAAGAACCUGAAACCGUGUACGUACAAGCAGUGGGAGC